UCCGAGUUGACCCCGGCAGUCUCCUAUGAGUCCCCACUAUCACGUGCUGGCAACAUAGAACGAGGGUUGCGCUCGUUGCGGGACUUAACCCAACAUCUCACGACACGAGCUGACGACAGCCAUGCACCACCUGUGAUCGCGCCCCGAAGGGAGGGUGUGUUUCCACACCUGUCGCGAACAUGUCAAACCCAGGUAAGGUUCUUCGCGUUGCGUCGAAUUAAACCACAUGCUCCGCUGCUUGUGCGGGCCCCCGUCAAUUCCUUUGAGUUUCAGCCUUGCGGCCGUACUCCCCAGGCGGGGCACUUACUGCGUUAGCGACGGCACUCAGAGGGUCGCUCCCCCAAGCACCUAGUGCCCAUCGUUUACGGCGUGGACUAC
This 378-nucleotide unclassified non-coding RNA is filed under the name uncultured Actinomycetes bacterium. RNAcentral describes it as "uncultured actinobacterium contains 16S-23S intergenic spacer region". The record is from RNAcentral. Lineage: Bacteria; Bacillati; Actinomycetota; Actinomycetes.